This 253-nucleotide ribosomal RNA is filed under the name uncultured bacterium. RNAcentral describes it as "partial 16S ribosomal RNA". It matches the Rfam family "Bacterial small subunit ribosomal RNA", at positions 524 to 776 of the family's 1533-position model. The record is from RNAcentral.
UACGUAGGGCGCGAGCGUUAUCCGGAAUUAUUGGGCGUAAAGAGCUCGUAGGCGGUUUGUCACGUCUGCUGUGAAAACUGGAGGCUCAACCUCCAGCCUGCAGUGGGUACGGGCAGACUAGAGUGCGGUAGGGGAGAUUGGAAUUCCUGGUGUAGCGGUGGAAUGCGCAGAUAUCAGGAAGAACACCCGUGGCGAAGGCGGCUCUCUGGGACGGUACUGACGCUGAGACGCGAAAGCGUGGGGAGCGAACAGG